UGGGGAUUUUCCGCAAUGGGCGAAAGCCUGACGGAGCAACGCCGCGUGAGGGAUGAAGGCCUCUGGGCUGUAAACCUCUUUUAUCAAGGAAGAAGAUCUGACGGUACUUGAUGAAUAAGCCACGGCUAAUUCCGUGCCAGCAGCCGCGGUAAUACGGGAGUGGCAAGCGUUAUCCGGAAUUAUUGGGCGUAAAGCGUCCGCAGGCGGUCUUACAAGUCUGUCGUUAAAGCGUGGAGCUUAACUCCAUUUCAGCGAUGGAAACUGUAAGACUAGAGUGUGGUAGGGGCAGAGGGAAUUCCCGGUGUAGCGGUGAAAUGCGUAGAUAUCGGGAAGAACACCAGUGGCGAAGGCGCUCUGCUGGGCCAUAACUGACGCUCAUGGACGAAAGCCAGGGGAGCGAAAGGGAUUAGAUACCCCUGUAGUC
RNAcentral lists this ribosomal RNA (424 nucleotides) under uncultured cyanobacterium. RNAcentral describes it as "bacterial SSU rRNA". It matches the Rfam family "Bacterial small subunit ribosomal RNA", at positions 356 to 795 of the family's 1533-position model. Lineage: Bacteria; Bacillati; Cyanobacteriota. The record is from RNAcentral.